UACGAAGGGGACUAGCGUUGUUCGGAAUCACUGGGCGUAAAGCGCACGUAGGCGGAUCAUUUAGUCAGGGGUGAAAUCCCGGGGCUCAACCUCGGAACUGCCUUUGAUACUGAUGGUCUCGAGUCCGAUAGAGGUGGGUAGAAUUCCUAGUGUAGAGGUGAAAUUCGUAGAUAUUAGGAAGAAUACCGGUGGCGAAGGCGGCCCACUGGAUCGGUACUGACGCUGAGGUGCGAAAGCGUGGGGAGCAAACAGGAUUAGAAACCCUAGUAGUCC
This 273-nucleotide ribosomal RNA is filed under the name uncultured prokaryote. RNAcentral's name for it is "partial 16S ribosomal RNA". It matches the Rfam family "Bacterial small subunit ribosomal RNA", at positions 524 to 796 of the family's 1533-position model. The record is from RNAcentral.